This 253-nucleotide ribosomal RNA is filed under the name uncultured bacterium. RNAcentral describes it as "partial 16S ribosomal RNA". It matches the Rfam family "Bacterial small subunit ribosomal RNA", at positions 524 to 776 of the family's 1533-position model. The record is from RNAcentral.
UACGUAGGGGACAAGCGUUAUCCGGAGUUACUGGGCGUAAAGGGCGUGUAGGUGGCUUCGUAAGUCUGGCGUGAAAUUUUUCGGCUUAACCGGGAAAGGUCGUCGGAUACUGCGGGACUAGAGGACGGUAGAGGCGUGUGGAAUUCCGGGUGUAGUGGUGAAAUGCGUAGAGAUCCGGAGGAACACCAGUGGCGAAGGCGACACGCUGGGCCGUACCUGACACUGAUGCGCGACAGCAUGGGGAGCAAACAGG